Non-coding RNA from Equus caballus (horse), 5347 nucleotides. The record is from RefSeq and is a predicted model, not a curated record. NCBI's taxonomy places the organism in Eukaryota, Metazoa, Chordata, Mammalia, Perissodactyla, Equidae.
UCACCAGAUUCCAGGGGAGAAGAUGAGAAGAUGGGGGGCGGGGCGGGGAGGAGAGGCGAGGGUUAGGGGGAGUGGGUCUCAACCUUGGGCUGUAAAUCGAGGUGGUGCCAGCUUAGGGCGUUGGCUGGGGUGGAAGAGAGGGCAGGGCGUGGAUCUGCAGAGGGAGGGACCGGUGAGCUUGGGUGGGAGGUCAAGGCCUGAGCUCAGUUUUGGCGAACCCGGGAUGGAGGCCUGUGCACCCGGCUGCGGGGACCCUGCAUCCUGCCUCUCUGACUUGGACCAGAGACAUUGGGAAAACUUUUUCAGACUUGCUUGGUGCCGGGAGUGGAUAUUUCGGAAGGACAAGAAUUUGGACGCGUAUCAAGAUGCUCUGAAGAACAGCAACAACCCUUUGAGGGACUACCGCUUGAACAUCAUGACCAAAGACAACAAAUGUGUUGUUAGAAUCUUUAAUUUUGUUUACAUCGUGACCUUAAUAGUUGGAACCAUAAUCCAAUUCUCUGAUGAAAGUAAAUUUGCAGUAGACAUGUCAAAAAUAGGCCUUACUCAUGUUCUGAAAGACUUGCCACCAGAAACCAAGGUCUUAGACAUGUCUCAAAACUGCAUAUCUGAGCUUCACCUGUCUGACAUGAGCUUUCUCUCAGGGCUGAAAGUCUUGAGACUUUCCCGUAAUAGCAUCCGGUACCUUGAUUUUAGUAUUUUCAAGUUCAACCCGGAUUUAGAAUAUUUGGAUUUAUCUCACAAUCAGUUGCAGAAGAUUUCCUGCCAUCCUAUCAUGAGUCUCAAGCAUUUAGAUCUCUCAUUCAAUGACUUUGAAGUCCUGCCCAUUUGUAAGGAAUUUGGCAACUUGACUCAACUGGAUUUCUUGGGAUUAAGUGCUACAAGGUUACAGCAAUUAGAUCUGCUACCAAUUGCUCACUUGCAUCUAAGUUGCAUCCUUCUUGAUUUAGAAGGUUAUUAUGUGAAAGAAAACCAGACAGAAAGUCUUCAAAUUCCAAAUACAAAAACACUUCAGCUUGUUUUCCACCCAUAUAAUUUAUUCUCUGUCCAAGUGAACAUAUCACUUAAUAGUUUAGGGUGCUUACAACUGACUAAUAUUAAAUUGAAUGAUGACAACUGUCAAGUUUUGAUUAAAUUUUUGUCAGACCCCAUUAGACAGCCAACCCUACUGAAUAUUACCCUCAACCAUGUGGAAACAACAUGGAAAUGCUUGGUUAGAGUUUUUCAAUUCCUUUGGCCCAAACCUGUAGAAUCUCUCCAUAUUUGCAAUUUAACAAUAGUUAAAAGCAUUGGUAAAGAAGAUUUUACCUAUUCUAAAACGGCAUUGAAAGCAUUGAAAAUAGAACAUAUUACAAACAGAGUUUAUAUUUUUUCACAGCAAGUGUUGUACACAGUGUUUUCUGAGAUGAACAUUAUGAUGUUAACCAUAUCAGAUACACCUUUUAUACAUAUGGUUUGUCCUCAGGCACCGAGCACAUUUAAGUUUUUGAACUUUACCCAGAAUGUUUUCACAGAUAGUAUUUUUCAAAACUGUUCCACUUUAGUUAGAUUGGAGACACUUAUCUUACAAAAGAACGAAUUAAAAGAUCUUUUCAAAGUAGGCCUCAUGACUAAGAAUAUGCCAUCUUUGGAAAUACUGGAUGUUAGCUGGAAUUCUCUGGAAUAUCAUGGACCUGAUGGAAAUUGCCCUUGGGUUGAGAGUCUAGUGGUGUUAAAUUUGUCUUCAAAUAUACUUACUGACUCUGUUUUCAGAUGUUUACCUCCCAGGAUCAAGGUACUUGAUCUUCACAAUAACAGAAUAAGGAGCAUCCCUAAAGAUAUCACCAGCCUGGAAGCCCUGCAAGUACUCAAUGUUGCUUUCAAUUCUUUAGCCGACCUUCCUGGAUGUGGUGCCUUUAACAGCCUUUCUAUACUGAUCAUUGACUAUAAUUUAAUUUCCGACCCAUCAGCCGAUUUCUUCCACAGUUGCCAGAAGAUUAGGUCAAUAAAAGCAGGGAACAAUCCAUUCCAAUGUACGUGUGAGCUAAGAGAAUUUAUCCAAAGUAUAGGCCAAGUAUCAAGUGAUGUGGUAGAGGGUUGGCCUGAUUCUUAUAAGUGUGAGUAUCCAGAAAGCUAUAAGGGAACCCCACUAAAGGACUUUCAUCUGUCUCAAUUAUCCUGCAACACAGCUCUGCUUGUUGUCACCAUUGUGGUCCCUGUGCUGGUGUUGGCUGUUACUGUGAGCAUCCUCUGUAUCUACCUGGAUCUGCCCUGGUAUCUCAGGAUGGUGUGUCAGUGGACCCAGACCCGGCGCAGGGCUAGGAACAUACCCUUAGAAGAACUCCAAAGAACUCUCCAGUUCCAUGCUUUUAUUUCAUACAGUGAACGUGAUUCUGCCUGGGUGAAGAAUGAACUAGUACCUUGCUUAGAAAAAGAAGAUAUACGGAUUUGUCUCCAUGAGAGAAACUUUGUUCCUGGCAAGAGCAUUGUGGAAAAUAUCAUAAACUGCAUUGAGAAAAGUUACAAGUCCAUCUUUGUUUUGUCUCCCAAUUUUGUUCAGAGUGAGUGGUGCCAUUAUGAACUCUACUUUGCCCACCACAAUCUCUUUCAUGAAGGAUCUGAUAACUUAAUCCUGAUCUUGCUGGAACCCAUUCCACAGAACAACAUUCCCAGCAAGUAUCACAAGCUCAGGGCUCUCAUGACACAGAGGACUUAUUUGGAAUGGCCCAAGGAGAAGAGCAAACGUGGACUUUUUUGGGCUAACAUUAGAGCUGCUUUUAAUAUGAAAGUAGCACUAGUCAUUGAAAACAAUGAUGUGAAAACUUAAAAAACAAGUCAGGAAACCAAACUUAACUUAAGAAACCGUCGACUUGAAAUCUGAUGAACUCUAUGGUUUUAAGUUAUUGUCUGGAUUGUGCCUCCAUUAUCUGCACGGGUUCAGUAGUGAAAACUGUUUGAACUGAGCUGGGGAACCAUGCUGGAGGACGAGGUGGUGCUCAAACUUGCCAAUUACAGAUAGCUCAGUCUCUUCUGGUUUAACCACUCUGUUUCUCAUUCAAACAGUCUCUUUCGAGUAAGUGAUCAGUCAUUCAAGGACCUUUCCUCUCCUCUCUCCUCUCCAAAAUGGAUUCUGUGUGAGCAGGAGUUUAUGGCACUUCAUGGCGGCAAGGAAAGAAUCAACCUCAGAACAGUAUGCAGUGGUCCCUGGAGUGUCCUAUGGUUCCUCAUUGGCCUCUGGUGGCCUGGGGACAUCCAGAAUAUAGAGAAGGCAGAGAAGAUGGAGGAAGAGUAAAGAAACUGACCACACUCCUUCCCCACUUCACUGCAAGAAAGGCCUGAGCAGGGGCCAAGCAGAAGUUUGAAUUAGGUGUGAGACUGAUGUUAAAUUGGACUGACGUGGACAUUUUAAUGCCUGAAACACAGGUGCAAUUACUAAAAUGAGACAUGUCACUAAAAUAUAUGGGACCUGCCCAAGAUUCAGGCUAGAUCCUAAACAGAUCCUGACAGGGGGAGGUUCAACAAAACCUGACUAUAAGACAGUGGUUAGAGAGAAAGAUAAAGCCCUUUCUUUCAGGACUUAGCUCAUUCCAUAAACCAGUUUCAUAAUUAAUAAUGGUAAAGAAAUGAGCCUUAGUGAAAUCUUAUCAGAGUCAUCUGGCUGCGCUAGCCCUUCCUUGUGCUUCAGGAGAGGACUUACUUUCCUUCCCUUUAUGAAAUGGUAAAUUUCCUCAGCCUCUGUUAGACUGUUUCCUAAACAAAAAUAACAACAAUGAUGAAGCUCAGCAAACAAUCACAAACUGUGUCACACACUCUAAACGAUCAGAUGUUUUAAAAUUGUUUCAGUGUUGCCCACAAAAUAUUGUUGAUAUUGAACAUAUAGAAUUUUGACAUUUUAACAGAAUUUCACAAAGCCUGCAGUUUUUGCUUCAUGAAAACACACGCAUUUCAGACAUGAAGAUUCUAUUGUAAGAGAUCAAUUUCUUUUUUAGAUAAAGAUUUUUUAUCUCCAGGAAUCCUCUUUCCUCUGUUGAAUUCUUCUGGUUGCAAGUAGCAGAUAUCAACUUGAGAAAGGGGGUGUUUAUUUGGAGGAUACAGAGGUGUCUCAAAGAAUUCAAAGGCGGGGACACAACUGAGCUCCAAGAAGGUUGGGAAGCAGAGAUGGUGAACCACUCAAACUUUCUCACUAUCUCCACUCUCUCCACUCCAGACCAAUUAGCUGUUUGGGGGUAAGGGCAGGGAUAGAGGAGUGAGGACUGGGACAGCCUGCCUCAUGACCAUUAUCGAGAAGGCUGGAAGUCCAGGAGCAAAAUGCCAGUAUGUCUGGUUUCUCCUGAGGCCCCUCUCAUUGGGAACAGACGGCUGUCUUCUCCAUGUCCUUAGAUGGCCUUUUCUCUGUGUGCACACAUCCCUGGUAUCUCUUCCUUUUUUUGUAAGGACGUAUUGGACUAGGGCCCCACACUUAUGACCUCAUUUAACCCUAGUUACCUAGGUUACCUAGUUACCUCUUUAAAGUCCCCAUCUCCGAGUAUAGUCACAGUCUGGGGUACUACAGGGUUAGGGCUGCCACAUAGGAGUUUUGGAGGGUAUGCAAUUCAGCCCAUAACAGAUGUCUAUGCAGAUAAACUGAAGAUGUUGUGACACACGUUGUGAGCUGUCGCCAAUAUCCAUUCUCCCUUUAUUUAAUACUAGAAUGCACGAAUUUUAUCAGGGCACCUCACAACCCAUCUAGAGACUACAUUUCCCAGUCUCCCUGGCAGCUUGAUGUGGAUGCGUGACUAAAUUCUGAGCAAAGGGAUGUAGCUGGAACCUAAGUGCCACUCUGAGUCCUGUCUCUAAGAAAGAUGAGUAUGGAUUCCUUCGCCCAAACGACCUUUCCACUGUCUAAGAGAUAAGAACUGGAGGAGCCAUCUAGAACCUGGAGAUGAAAGCCUCCUGUUGAUGAUGUGCUCCUCAGUCUAACAUUUUGUGCUGCCCAUGCCAGCCUCUCCCCAUGUCCUGGACUGCUCACCUCUCUUAUGUGAGAGAAGUAAAUUACCUUGUUUAUGCCACUAUACUUUGGCUCCCUUUGAUACAGAAUCUUUGUCUGCACCCUCAUGAAGACAGACAUUUACAACCCACAGAUGUUGGUCCAGCCGUUGAACAUUUCCUGGCUACGUACACCUAUCACGAGAGGAGAGUGUGCAUGUUCCACUGUGCAACCUGGAGCAGAGCACACACCAUCCUGACCGAGCCACCAAUACCUCUCACCUGUACGACUGCAGUAACCUCCUAACCGGCCUCCUUGCUCUUACUCUUUUUUUUCUUUUUGAGGAAGAUUAGCCCUGAGCUAACUGCUGCCAAUCCUCCUUUUUCACUGAGGAAGACUGGC